AUGCAUGAAAUCCUUGAAUGCUUAUGUUUGUUAAUGUUGAUUAUGAUUGAUGUGAAGCUUACCCCUAGUGGUUUUGACCACCUACCUGUUUGUAUGAAUGGGUAGACGAAGUGCAUGAGUAGUUUGCUUGUUUCGGUGAGUGCUUGGAUAGCGGGUCCGUUAUCAGUCUUAGAGUAGGCUCUGAUCUAGGAUGUUUGUCUUUAUGAUUAUUCGAGAUUGAUUAUGUUGGAUUUAUGUUGUUGAGUUUUGGCCCAUAUGUCGGGAUUUAGAGAUUUUAUAUAUUGAUAUAUAUUGAUUUUAUGACAUGUAUAUUUGG
Molecule: long non-coding RNA, 316 nt
Filed under: Medicago truncatula (barrel medic)
Lineage: Eukaryota; Viridiplantae; Streptophyta; Magnoliopsida; Fabales; Fabaceae
Description: lncRNA gene14900
Source: RNAcentral